GAACGCAUAGUUAACCACAAAGCCGUCGUUGCUUUCCUCCCCGGGAGAUCAUAUUGUGUCCAGGGAAAGCUUUCCAAGCCAUUAUGAUAUAUUGACAAAUUGAAUAUUCGAAGAUAUUACAUAGAGUUUGUUGAGAUUACAGCUUCGAACAAGUACAUUGGAUCACCCU
Molecule: long non-coding RNA, 169 nt
Organism: Populus euphratica (Euphrates poplar)
Lineage: Eukaryota; Viridiplantae; Streptophyta; Magnoliopsida; Malpighiales; Salicaceae
Exons: 2
Source: RefSeq, a predicted model, not a curated record